UACGUAGGGUCCGAGCGUUAAUCGGAAUUACUGGGCGUAAAGCGUGCGCAGGCGGCUUUGUAAGCCAGAUGUGAAAUCCCCGAGCUUAACUUGGGAACUGCGCUCGAAACUACUUGGCUAGAGUGUGGCAGAGGGAGGUGGAAUUCCACGUGUAGCGGUGAAAUGCGUAGAGAUGUGGAGGAACACCGAUGGCGAAGGCAGCCUCCUGGGCCAACACUGACGCUCAUGCACGAAAGCGUGGGGAGCAAACAGG
This 253-nucleotide ribosomal RNA is filed under the name uncultured bacterium. RNAcentral's name for it is "partial 16S ribosomal RNA". It matches the Rfam family "Bacterial small subunit ribosomal RNA", at positions 524 to 776 of the family's 1533-position model. The record is from RNAcentral.